This 680-nucleotide ribosomal RNA is filed under the name uncultured bacterium. Its description in RNAcentral is "bacterial SSU rRNA". It matches the Rfam family "Bacterial small subunit ribosomal RNA", at positions 140 to 807 of the family's 1533-position model. The record is from RNAcentral.
GGGAUAACACUUGGAAACAGGUGCUAAUACCGCAUAACCAUAGUUACCGCAUGGUAACUAUGUAAAAGGUGGCUAUGCUACCGCUUUUGGAUGGGCCCGCGGCGCAUUAGCUAGUUGGUGGGGUAAAGGCUUACCAAGGCAAUGAUGCGUAGCCGAACUGAGAGGUUGAUCGGCCACAUUGGGACUGAGACACGGCCCAAACUCCUACGGGAGGCAGCAGUAGGGAAUCUUCCACAAUGGGCGAAAGCCUGAUGGAGCAACGCCGCGUGGGUGAAGAAGGUCUUCGGAUCGUAAAACCCUGUUGUUAGAGAAGAAAGUGCGUGAGAGUAACUGUUCACGUUUCGACGGUAUCUAACCAGAAAGCCACGGCUAACUACGUGCCAGCAGCCGCGGUAAUACGUAGGUGGCAAGCGUUAUCCGGAUUUAUUGGGCGAAAAGGGAACGCAGGCGGUCUUUUAAGUCUGAUGUGAAAGCCUUCGGCUUAACCGGAGUAGUGCAUUGGAAACUGGGAGACUUGAGUGCAGAAGAGGAGAGUGGAACUCCAUGUGUAGCGGUGAAAUGCGUAGAUAUAUGGAAGAACACCAGUGGCGAAAGCGGCUCUCUGGUCUGUAACUGACGCUGAGGUUCGAAAGCGUGGGUAGCAAACAGGAUUAGAUACCCUGGUAGUCCACGCCGUAAAC